UUAAUAGCUAUCCUCAAACACUGUUUUGCAGAUGAAAAUAAUGAGUAUUUAGGAUAAUAAUAUUUUCUUAUUCAUGGACUGGUUUUCAAAUUCAUGAGGGCAAGAUUUUGUCUUUCAUGUUUACUAAUGCACCCCUGAUGCCUAGAUUACUGUCUAUCACAUAUUAGACACUCAAUACAUACUUGUCAACUACAUGAAUGAACGCAUCUUGGGUAUGAAUGAAAAUGUUGGAAGUAGCAACGGAGAACUAGUAUGCAAAUAUGAGAGCCCCUUCCUAUUACCUCUUUUAUUUUUUCUGUUGUUAUGAAAAUACAUAUGACAUGUGCCACAGAAAAAAAUGGUAUUUGUCCAACUACUAUUUUUCUUUUUUUCUGGAACAUAAAGAAAUAUUACAUUGCCUCCCUUGUUGCUAGUUUGGAACCAUGUAAUUGAGUUCUUGCCAAUGGGAAUGUGGGAGGUAGUGAAGUGAUGUGCUACUUCUAGUUUGAGGCAAGUAAGAAUGCUAUGGUGUCUCUAUUUUCCUCUCUCUUGUCUUUGAGGUAGAAGAAAAGAAGUGUGAAAUUAUGGAUGUAUAAGAUGGACAAGUAGAACGCAACUCAGAUCCUGACUCACUUUUAGAACGAUCACCAACAAAGAGCCACUCAAUUAGCAGACUGUAAUAUGAGAGAUAAAUAAAACUUUUGGAGGUAAAUCCAUGGAUAUUCCAGGAUUUAGGUGUUGCAGAAGUGGAGUCAGAGUGAAGCACUUGUUCCUGAAGUGAUGUCAAAAGAGAGUGACCAGCCGGAUAAUGUAUAAAGAA
This 799-nucleotide long non-coding RNA is filed under the name Homo sapiens (human). RNAcentral's name for it is "non-protein coding lnc-ANXA1-4:3". The record is from RNAcentral. Lineage: Eukaryota; Metazoa; Chordata; Mammalia; Primates; Hominidae.